GAUCCCCUCCUUUCUAAGGAAGAACCCUAAUGGGGUCCCCACCAGCGACGAGGCUUUUGCCGAGGAGCUUAAGGGUGGGGCAAAGACCCCUUUCGGUUCUCUUGGAACAAGACGGAAGAGAGUCACUCUUACCGUCGUGCAUACCUGAAGCGGGUCUGCCGCCUUCGUUUCUCUUUCUUCAGCGAAUGACUUUGACUUGCGCUCGCGCGCCGCAUCGGCCUUCGGCCUGGCGCUCCGCGAGGGCGCGGCACAAGCCGCGACGGCCGGUCGGCCUUGCGAGACUUGCGUCUCGGUGGCGAGAGCCGAUUUAAGGCGCAGUGUCUAAGGGCUUGUAGCUCAGUUGGUUAGAGCGCGCGCUUGAUAAGCGUGAGGUCGGAGGUUCAAGUCCUCCCAGGCCCACCACUUCCUUUCGAUACGAAGGUUAUCAGGGGCCGUAGCUCAGCUGGGAGAGCGCCUGCUUUGCAAGCAGGAUGUCGUCGGUUCGAUCCCGUCCGGCUCCACCAACCAUCUUCUGCGAAGAUGGGGCGUGUCGAGUAAGAUGGUAAGAAAAAAGUCAUUCGAAAAAGAGUUUGCGUCGAGCCUCUUGGCUUAGCGCCUGUUCUGUUUGACAUCGUAAAGAGAAGAUUUGUUCGAACUUCAUGAGCCGCAAGGACCGUGAUUUGUCGCUGGAGACGCUCAAUCUCCAGCAUAUGAUGGGUUUGCCUAACCGCGCCCUCGAACGGAUCUCGAGAAGCUGGUCUUUUUGUGCCAAUUCCAUUGAAGCAGGUCCCGCACAGGAUCUGGUUCGAGGCGACGAUCCCUGCGGGAUCGCGCUUAGCCAAUCCCGCAAGGGGUUUGGCUUGAACGACGAUCCCUGCGGGAUCGCGCGAUGAUGGGUAUUGGCAAUGAGAACGAUCAAGUGUCUUAAGGGCAAUUGGUGGAUGCCUUGGCAUGCACAGGCGAUGAAGGACGUGAUACGCUGCGAUAAGCUACGGGGAGGUGCGAAUACCCUUUGAUCCGUAGAUCUCCGAAUG
RNAcentral lists this unclassified non-coding RNA (1013 nucleotides) under Mesorhizobium sp. CIRADAc9. RNAcentral's name for it is "16S-23S intergenic spacer". The stretch from base 893 to 1013 matches the Rfam family "Bacterial large subunit ribosomal RNA", at positions 1 to 120 of the family's 2925-position model. Lineage: Bacteria; Pseudomonadati; Pseudomonadota; Alphaproteobacteria; Hyphomicrobiales; Phyllobacteriaceae. The record is from RNAcentral.